RNAcentral lists this ribosomal RNA (253 nucleotides) under uncultured bacterium. RNAcentral describes it as "partial 16S ribosomal RNA". It matches the Rfam family "Bacterial small subunit ribosomal RNA", at positions 524 to 776 of the family's 1533-position model. The record is from RNAcentral.
UACGUAGGGUGCGAGCGUUGUCCGGAAUUAUUGGGCGUAAAGGGCUCGUAGGCGGUUUGUCGCGUCUGCUGUGAAAAUCCGGGGCUCAACCCCGGACUUGCAGUGGGUACGGGCAGACUGGAGUGCGGUAGGGGAGAUCGGAAUUCCUGGUGUAGCGGUGAAAUGCGCAGAUAUCAGGAGGAACACCGGUGGCGAAGGCGGAUCUCUGGGCCGUAACUGACGCUGAGGAGCGAAAGCAUGGGGAGCGAACAGG